Molecule: ribosomal RNA, 211 nt
Filed under: uncultured Staphylococcus sp.
Lineage: Bacteria; Bacillati; Bacillota; Bacilli; Caryophanales; Staphylococcaceae
Description: partial 16S ribosomal RNA
Rfam family: Bacterial small subunit ribosomal RNA
Source: RNAcentral
CGGGAAACCGGAGCUAAUACCGAUAAUAUAUUGAACCGCAUGGUUCAAUAGUGAAAGACGGUUUUGCUGUCACUUAUAGAUGGAUCCGCGCCGCAUUAGCUAGUUGGUAAGGUAACGGCUUACCAAGGCAACGAUGCGUAGCCGACCUGAGAGGGUGAUCGGCCACACUGGAACUGAGACACGGUCCAGACUCCUGCGGGAGGCAGCAGGC